AUUUUCACCACAAGAUGAUACAAUGUAAUGUUAUCUGAUACUACCAGCUCAACUUUUAAAAUACAGAGGUGCUCUGCAGGUCAUCUCCAUUGGAUGGAAAGGGUAGGGCAGUAGAGUGACUCAGUCUUGAGGAUGAUGAGUGUUAACGAGCUCCACAAGAUCACAAAGUGGUUCGCACAAGCCUCGUGACUCGUUGGUACAGCUGCUGGACAACUGUCAUGAGAUUCCUAAAAUGGUUUGUCAAAAGAGCACAAAAGACAUGAUCAGUGAGUGGUGCCAAACACAGCAAACUGUUCAAGAUUUGGUGGUGGUGGUGAACCCUUGUGGAAAAUGGCCCCAUCAUCCCGAAUGUCUGCACCAGGGACUCUUCGAGGUGACUGGGAUGACAGCCAGAUAGCAGGCUGGACAAGAGUCAGAUGCAGAGGAACCACAGCUGCAGACGAGAGAGGCGGGGAGAUACUUUGCCCUCACAGGAGUAAAGGCACAUCAGGAGUGGAUGAGUACCCUCUGAAUGUUCUACCUUUUUUCCAUCACUUUUUAAUUAACAGCACUUUUUAUUAUUGUUUUACAAGGAGUUUGGCAGAGAAAGAUAUUAACAAGAAACAUUUACAGAAGUCAAUACAAAUAGGAAAAAGGGUCUUUGGAUUAAAAUGUCAAUAUACCACAGCAGGAGUGGAUGUUGGUGGAUAUAAUUGAUUUGUUUUGAGGGGGUGGGGAUCUCACAGAUAUACAAGACAUAGAGCUUGUAUAUGACUCAAUGGCAGCUUACAAUAAGACAUGCUGGAUAGGAGAGUCGGGUGGCAACCUCACGGCCAUGAUGCCUGGUGUGAGACCUAUACCAACCCCUGUUGUCUGCACCUCAAUGACACCAGAAAUUAUGGGAUGGAUCCUGAGUGUGGCCUGUCUCCUCAUUAUCUCAACCAACCAGCUGGUAGCUGCUGCUCUGUUUCAGCUAAUGUGCAGGAAGGGCAGUCAGAGCUGGAGCUUCGUUAUCAACCUGGCCAUGCCAGAUACCUUGAUGUCCCUAACAACAGGGUUUCAUUUCAAUUCAGGGGAUGAACAGACUCAAUUUGUGAAUUCUUGAUCAACUGGAUAAGGAACAUGAUAUAUUUUUACACUAAUAAUCUAAAUACAGUAUUAUAUAGUAUGUUUGUUAUUCUGCUCUGCAGGCAUGGCGCGGCAGCUACAGCAGAGAAACUUCGACAGCAGCAGCCUUUGCACCUUCUUCUCUGUCAUCCGUCCUCGGGGCUUCAUUGUGGUGUUCUGUACUGGCUUCUUCCCCAUCCUCUCUGUCUUCAACUACUUCUACCUGGACAUCCUGAAGAUUGCCUGCGGCCACCAGAUACAGAUCCGUCAGGCCAGCUAAAGGCUUCCACAGCGCAGCCACUACUGGGGCCACGCCAAGGCUCUGAGGACUGUGGCUCUGCUGGUGGUCUGUUUCACCAUUUGCUGGUGCCGUUUGUGGUGUGUGUGGUGCAGGUGCUGUGUGAGGGCUGUGAGUUGUACAAGGUGCUGGAGAACGACCUGUAGCUGCUGGGGCUGUCCAACCCCCUCAUCAACCCUCUGGUGUACGCCUGCUGGCAGAGGGAGGUGUGGCUGAAGAUCGGGGCACUCAUCUCCGUUAAGGACAGGAACAUAGCCGUGUUAGAGGCUAGUGAGGGAUGUCAGACAGAGCUGCUUGUUGCAGAUAAGAAGCUGUGCGUGAUGAUGUAGUGCAGAUAACUACUUUUGCAGUUAAAUUCGAAUGUAGCGAAUAACAAUGUCAAGUUCAAUGGGUUUCCAUCACAUUUUCAACUGUACUGAUGGUUUUCUCGCAAUUUGUUUUGCGUUAUAUAGCGAAUUUGUGAAAGUGUUCAAUCUUGUUUUCAUCAGACCAGAUAAUCUUAUUUCUCAUGGUGUGACAGUCUUUAGGUGCCUUUUGGCAAACUCCAAGCGGGCUGUCAUGUGCCUUUUACUGAGGAGUGGCUUCCGUCUGGCCA
Oncorhynchus gorbuscha (pink salmon) is the source of this 1979-nucleotide RNA transcript. RefSeq lists it as uncharacterized. The transcript is spliced from 3 exons. Lineage: Eukaryota; Metazoa; Chordata; Actinopteri; Salmoniformes; Salmonidae. The record is from RefSeq and is a predicted model, not a curated record.